UACGGAGGGGGCUAGCGUUGUUCGGAAUUACUGGGCGUAAAGCGCGCGUAGGCGGACCUGCAAGUCGGGGGUGAAAGCCCGAGGCUCAACCUCGGAACUGCCUUCGAUACUGCGGGUCUCGAGUCCGGGAGAGGUGAGUGGAAUUCCUAGUGUAGUGGUGAAAUGCGCAGAUAUCAGGAAGAACACCUAUGGCGAAGGCAGCACUCUGGGACGGUACUGACGCUGAGACGCGAAAGCGUGGGGAGCGAACAGG
Molecule: ribosomal RNA, 253 nt
Filed under: uncultured bacterium
Lineage: Bacteria
Description: partial 16S ribosomal RNA
Rfam family: Bacterial small subunit ribosomal RNA
Source: RNAcentral